RNAcentral lists this ribosomal RNA (570 nucleotides) under Triticum aestivum (bread wheat). Its description in RNAcentral is "partial small subunit ribosomal RNA". The record is from RNAcentral. Lineage: Eukaryota; Viridiplantae; Streptophyta; Magnoliopsida; Poales; Poaceae.
AUGGAGGAGGCCAAGAGGAGGCCGCGCGGCGUGCUGGACCUGGAGGCUCAGUUCGCCUUCUUCCGUUCGCAGCACCGGCACCCGGUCAACGCCGCCGCGCACGCGCUGCUCGCGGGCCCCAUCCUCUUCGGCAACCUGCUCAUCCUCUACUUCCUGCCCCUGCCCUCCCCGCUCGACCCGGCCCUCGCCCUCUCCCUCGCCUACGCCGCCUCCUACCUCGCCGUCGACCGCCGCGCCGGGGCCCUCGCCGCGCUCCUCCUCCUCGGCGCCUGGGCCGCCAGCCGCGCCCUCGCCGCCCGGCUCGGCUUCGCGCUCGCGUGGAAGGUCGUGCUGGCCACGGAGCUCUUCUGCUGGACCUGGCAGUUCCUCGGCCAUGGACUCUUCGAGAAAGGCCCAACGGUGAGUGAACUUCCGGCGGUGUUCCUGAUGGAGCCAUUCCUCAUCCUACUGCAGAUACUCAACAAGCUGUUUGGCUACGAGCCAUACCCUGGAUUCAGCAAGAACGUGGAUAAGAAGAUGGAGGCCGAUCUCAGGGAGAGCAGAGAGCUCGAGCAGAGGAAGAUCAACUAA